Molecule: small RNA, 81 nt
Filed under: Flavobacterium sp. 120
Lineage: Bacteria; Pseudomonadati; Bacteroidota; Flavobacteriia; Flavobacteriales; Flavobacteriaceae
Description: Flavo-1 RNA
Rfam family: Flavo-1 RNA
Source: RNAcentral
CCAUAGCCCUGAUAAGAGUGGAAAUCCUUUUACUUUUUGCUGCCAAAAAGUAAAAGAUUAUAACGGAUAGCAGGACACGAG